UGGUGGAGUGAUUUGUCUGGUUAAUUCCGUUAACGAACGAGACCUCGACCUGCUAAAUAGUGGUGCGCACUCUUUGAGUGUGUGAUCACUUCUUAGAGGGACUAUUGGUUUGUAGCCAAUGGAAGUUCGAGGCAAUAACA
This 140-nucleotide ribosomal RNA is filed under the name uncultured eukaryote. RNAcentral describes it as "partial 18S ribosomal RNA". It matches the Rfam family "Eukaryotic small subunit ribosomal RNA", at positions 1299 to 1458 of the family's 1831-position model. The record is from RNAcentral.